CUGAACGCAGCAGGGAAAUGAUUGUCACACAACCAAGUAAAUUUUCGUGAAUAACAGGGCGUCGUGAAGCGUUUAAUUUUUGUUACAAAAUUUUGGAAAAUUGCCAGCCCCUACAUUUAUUUGUUUCAAAGUGUUGAAAGUCGCUUAUUUUUUAAAAAUAAGAAAUAAUGGAAACAAUUGUAAACCUUUUUUUUCUUCUCUCUUUGUUUGAUGACUAUCAGCAAGGCAGCCUAUAGCUUGAACACGGCCAACAUGCUGACAUCGCGAUUGAUGGAUCAGAUAAACCGCACAGACUGUAUGGCAUCCGGCCGUAAUAUUCCCCACUUUUGGCAUCCAACUAUUAACGCUUCCAAAACGUACACUGAAAAUUGCCUGAAAUUCGACUCUAUUUUUAAAACAAACAUGUGGACGUUAACAUUUUAUUUUGUUGUUUUUAGCGAGUUUUAACACUGAGGUGGUUUUUAAUUGAUUGUGAUAAACGUGUUUCCCUUUUUA
This is a long non-coding RNA of Daphnia magna, 495 nucleotides long. RefSeq lists it as uncharacterized. Lineage: Eukaryota; Metazoa; Arthropoda; Branchiopoda; Diplostraca; Daphniidae. The transcript has 2 exons. The record is from RefSeq and is a predicted model, not a curated record.